Non-coding RNA from Podarcis lilfordi (Lilford's wall lizard), 77 nucleotides. The record is from the annotation of a GenBank genome assembly. Lineage: Eukaryota; Metazoa; Chordata; Lepidosauria; Squamata; Lacertidae.
ACCUCUGGAAUAGUUCAGCCGGUUGGAGCACGAUACUUUUAAUCUCAGGGUUGUGGGUUCGAGCCCCACGUUGGGCA